CUAAACUGAGGGAGGUACGUCGAAACUGACCGGCUAGAGGGACGUAGAGGUAAGCGGAACUCUCGGAGUAGCGGUGAAAUGCGUAGAGACCGAGAGGUACCCCGAUGGUGAAGACAGCUUACUGGGCGUCUCCUGACGCUGAAGCGCUAAGGCCAGGGGAGCGAAGGGGAUUAGAUACCCCCGUAGUCCUGGCUUCAAACGAUGUGGGCUUGGUGUCGGCCCCCUAUAGAGGGUCGUUGCCGGGGUUAACGCGUUAAGCCCACCGCCUGGGGAUUACGUCCGCAAGGAUGAAGCUCAAGGGAAUUGACGGGGGCCCACACAACCGGUGGAGCACGUGGUUUAAUUCGAUGAUAAGCGAAGAACCUUACCAGGGCUUGACCUAGCGGUAGUAGAACCCCGAAAGGGGAACGACCUCAAGCUUUGCUUGAGGAGCC
RNAcentral lists this ribosomal RNA (434 nucleotides) under uncultured archaeon. RNAcentral describes it as "bacterial SSU rRNA". It matches the Rfam family "Bacterial small subunit ribosomal RNA", at positions 608 to 1042 of the family's 1533-position model. The record is from RNAcentral.